CACGUAAGCACGAGAUGCUGACGUGGAAGGAAAUCGCUCCCUCAAGGACGCGAUUUCCUUCCACAUCAGUAUCUCGCGCUUACGUAG
Non-coding RNA from Gossypium hirsutum (cotton), 87 nucleotides. Lineage: Eukaryota; Viridiplantae; Streptophyta; Magnoliopsida; Malvales; Malvaceae. The record is from Rfam.